This is a long non-coding RNA of Gordionus sp. m RMFG-2023, 291 nucleotides long. RefSeq lists it as uncharacterized. The transcript is spliced from 3 exons. The record is from RefSeq and is a predicted model, not a curated record. NCBI's taxonomy places the organism in Eukaryota, Metazoa, Nematomorpha, Gordioida, Chordodea, Parachordodidae.
UAAAUAUCAAAUGAGAAAGUCCAAGAAAUCUCUUAAAAGAAUUAAAAACACAACAAGAAAUUGGUCAUCAUCCUACAAAUCUGUAGAAAUCUUUUUAGAUGUUUAUGAACAUAUUUUAGCAUCAUUAGUUGAAUUAAAAGAUUCUAAUGACCCAAGCACCUCUUCCAUUGCCGAUGGAAAUAUUGAAAUGUACACAUGAGGCUUGUAUUGAAAUGCAGGCAGUUGGUAAUGAUUUGGCUUUGGUAACCAAAUUAAUACAACAUACAAAAAAUAAAUUACAAAAACUAAAAG